AGCGGCGGACGGGUGAGUAACACGUGGGUAACCUGCCCAAGAGACAGGGAUAACACCUGGAAACAGAUGCUAAUACCGGGUAACAACACUAGACGCAUGUCUAGAGCUUGAAAGAUGGUUCUGCUAUCACUCUUGGAUGGACCUGCGGUGCAUUAGCUAGUUGGUAAGGUAACGGCUUACCAAGGCAAUGAUGCAUAGCCGAGUUGAGAGACUGAUCGGCCACAUUGGGACUGAGACACGGCCCAAACUCCUACGGGAGGCAGCAGUAGGGAAUCUUCCACAAUGGACGAAAGUCUGAUGGAGCAACGCCGCGUGAGUGAAGAAGGGUUUCGGCUCGUAAAGCUCUGUUGGUAGUGAAGAAAGAUAGAGGUAGUAACUGGCCUUUAUUCGACGGUAAUUACUUAGAAAGUCACGGCUAACUACGUGCCAGCAGCCGCGGUAAUACGUAGGUGGCAAGCGUUGUCCGGAUUUAUUGGGCGUAAAGCGAGUGCAGGCGGUUCAAUAAGUCUGAUGUGAAAGCCUUCGGCUCAACCGGAGAAUUGCAUCAGAAACUGUUGAACUUGAGUGCAGAAGAGGAGAGUGGAACUCCAUGUGUAGCGGUGGAAUGCGUAGAUAUAUGGAAGAACACCAGUGGCGAAGGCGGCUCUCUGGUCUGCAACUGACGCUGAGGCUCGAAAGCAUGGGUAGCGAACAGGAUUAGAUACCCUGGUAGUCCAUGCCGUAAACGAUGAGUGCUAAGUGU
RNAcentral lists this ribosomal RNA (742 nucleotides) under uncultured bacterium. RNAcentral's name for it is "bacterial SSU rRNA". It matches the Rfam family "Bacterial small subunit ribosomal RNA", at positions 94 to 823 of the family's 1533-position model. The record is from RNAcentral.